AAAGAUCCCAGCAUAACUGGGCAGUCAUGGAGACAAGUGACAUAUGGAAUGCUAACCAUAGGUCCACAUCGUUGCACUUACAGAUUUCUGGUAUGUAAGAAACUCCCAAGAUGACCUUGGAAGCUACAUGGCAAAGCAACUGCCAGACUAAAUCCCUGAAUGACAGCAUGGAGCAUACAGCAUCUUAUUUCCAAGACGACCACCAUCAAUUCCCUCCCUACCCAUAUGUACAUGCCAUUCCCCACUAAGAAAUAGAGUUUAUUCCUCCAUUCCUUUGAAAUCUAGGCUAACCUUAUUGACUUGAUUGUUCAGUAGAAUGAAGGGUCAUUCUGUGAUUGCCUUGAACUCCCAUUGAGGGCUCUUGGAGCCUAGGCACCAUAUUGUUAGGAAGCCUAAGGAGUCUUGUAGAGAGGCCCCUAAAAACAAGUGUCAACUUGCCAGCCAUAUGCGUAAAUUUUCCUGGAAGGCUAUACUCCAGGCCUAGUUGAGCUUCCCCAGCUGAUAUCAUGCAGAGUAGAGAGGAACUGCCUAGCAGAGCCUUUCCUAAAUUUUGAAUUUUACGGCAGAAUAAUAUUCCACUGCAUGUAUAUACCACAGUUUCUUUACCCAUUUGUCAGUGGACACUUAGGCUGUUUCCAUGUCUUGGCUGUUAUGAAUAAUGCUGCAAUGAAUAUUGAAGUGCAGAUAUCUCUUUGAGAUACUACUAUCAUUUCUUUGGAUAUAUACCCAGAUGUGGAAUUGUGGGAUUAUAUGGUAGUACUAUUUGUAAUUUUUUGAGGAACCUCCAUACUUAGGUUUUUCCAUAGUGGCUGUACCAAUUUACAUUCCCACCAACAGCAUACAAUGGAUUCCUUUUCUCCAUAUUCUCAUCAGCUUGUUAUCUCUUGUCUUUUUGGUAAUAGCCAUCCUAACAGGUGUGAGGUGAUAUCUCAUUGUUUUGAUUUGCAUUUCCCUGAUGAUUAGUGAUGUUGAGCACCUUUUCAUUUGCCUGUUAGCCAUUUCUUUGUCUUCUUCAAAAAAUGUUUUUCAGUUCCUUUUCUCAUGUUAAAAAUUGGGUUAUCUUUUUUUUUUGCUAUUGAAUUGUAUGCGUUAUUUGUAUAUUUUGGAUAUCACCCCUUAUUGGAUAUGUAGUUUGAAAAUAUUUUCUCCCAUUUCAUAGGUUGCCUUUUCACUUUGUUGAUUAUUCCAUUUGCUGUGCAGAGGCUUUUUGGUUUGAUAUAGUUCCACUUGUUUAUUUUUCCUUUUGUUGGCUAUGCUUUUUGGUGUCAUAUCCAAAAAAUCAUUGCCAAGACCAAUGUCAAGGAGCUUUUUCCCUACUUUUUUUGCUUUUGUUUUUGUUUUGUAGAAGUUUUAUUGUUCACAUCUUACAUUUAGGUCUUUAAUCCAUUUUGAGUUAAUUUUUGUGUAUGGUUUAAGAUAAGCGUUCGUAGCAUAGACAUAUAUAUACUACCAACUGUAAAAUAGAUAGCUAGUGGGAAGUUGCUGUAUAACAAAGGGAGAUCAACUCGAUGAUGAGUGAU
Long non-coding RNA from Hippopotamus amphibius kiboko, 1520 nucleotides. RefSeq lists it as uncharacterized. The transcript has 3 exons. The record is from RefSeq and is a predicted model, not a curated record. NCBI's taxonomy places the organism in Eukaryota, Metazoa, Chordata, Mammalia, Artiodactyla, Hippopotamidae.